GGCCCGGUAGCUCAGUUGGUAGAGCAGUGGAUUGAAAAUCCGCGUGUCGGUGGUUCGAUUCCGCCCCAGGCCACCA
RNAcentral lists this transfer RNA (76 nucleotides) under uncultured Caballeronia sp. RNAcentral's name for it is "tRNA-Phe-GAA". It matches the Rfam family "tRNA". From Rfam's summary of the family: Transfer RNA (tRNA) molecules are approximately 80 nucleotides in length. Their secondary structure includes four short double-helical elements and three loops (D, anti-codon, and T loops). Further hydrogen bonds mediate the characteristic L-shaped molecular structure. tRNAs have two regions of fundamental functional importance: the anti-codon, which is responsible for specific mRNA codon recognition, and the 3' end, to which the tRNAs corresponding amino acid is attached (by aminoacyl-tRNA synthetases). tRNAs cope with the degeneracy of the genetic code in two manners: having more than one tRNA (with a specific anti-codon) for a particular amino acid; and 'wobble' base-pairing, i.e. permitting non-standard base-pairing at the 3rd anti-codon position. The record is from RNAcentral. Lineage: Bacteria; Pseudomonadati; Pseudomonadota; Betaproteobacteria; Burkholderiales; Burkholderiaceae.